CGCGUGCCCCGCGCGGCGGUCACGUGGGGCGGAGAGGGUUGAGGAUGAGGUGGCGGCUGCUCUGGCCGCUGUGGCUGCUGUGCGGCGCCGCGGCAAAGACCCUGCGCGGCGGCUUCGCCAGCGCGGCGGCCCGCCUGGAGCCUGCACGGCCCGUGGCGCGGUUCCAGUUUCACGGUGACCAUGCAGUUCUCUGUGUCAGAAUCAAGAAUGUAGCUGUAGCUGUGACUAAAGCAGCUAGACUUCACCUGUUUCAAGCACAGGAAUGGCAGAAACUGCAGAACGGUAUCCAAGAUCACAGCUGUACAGACAAGUUCUCAAAAGCUCAGCUGACAAUGACUGUGAACCACACAGAGCAAAAUCUGACAGUGUCCCAGAUUCCUUAUCCGGAAACAUGGUAUGUGUUUUAUGUAGACAAGUUUACCUGCGAGGAGAAUUAUUCUGAAUCCGAGGAUAUUCAGUUUGAAAUGGUCUUACUAAACCCAGAUGCAGAAGGGAAUCCAUUAGAUCACUUUAGCGCAGGGGAAUCUGGACUACAUGAAUUCUUUUUCCUGCUUGUCCUAGCAUACUUCGUAACUGCUUGCAUAUAUGCACAGUCCCUAUGGCAAACAAUUAAGAAGCGUGGACCUAUGCAUACUGUAUUAAAGGUGUUGACAAUUGCACUGCUGUUGCAGGCUGGUUCAGCUUUUGCCAACUACCUGCAUUUCUCAAGUUAUUCUAAGGAUGGAAUAGGAGUGCCUUUUAUGGGAAGUCUGGCAGAAUUGUGUGACAUAGUCUCACAGAUACAAAUGCUGUAUUUAUUAUUGAGUCUGUGUAUGGGUUGGACAAUAGGCAGGAUGAAGAAAUCUCAUGGUAGACCUCUUCAGUGGGAUUCCACUCCAACAUCUACUGGCAUCGCUGUAGUAGUUGUUGUUGCACAGAGCUUUUUAUUAAUUUGGGAGCAGUUUGAAGAUGCGAAUCACCACAGCUACCAUUCGCACCAUGGCUUAGCAAGUGGACUGCUUAUUGGCCUCAGAGUGUGCCUAGCUUUGUCACUGGCUGCUAGUCUUUACCAGAUCAUCACAGUGGAGAGAAGCACACUGAAAAGGGAGUUCUACAUCACCUUUGCCAAAGCCUGCAUUCUCUGGUUUUUGUGCCACCCAUGUCUUGCAACCAUUUCUGUAAUAUUCAGAGAAUAUCAAAGAGAAAAGAUUAUUACCAUGGGUGUCAUCCUCUGUCAGUGUAUCUCCAUGGUUAUCCUCUACAGACUUUUUCUAUCUCAUAGUCUAUAUUGGGAAGUAUCUUCACUAUCAUCAGUGACAUUGCCACUAACUGUAUCCUCUGGACAUAAAAAUCGACAUCGCUUCUGAGGUGUUUAGGAAGAACCAUUAUGUAAUAAAUGUGCAAUAAUGACCUAAUAAUAGGUAUUUUUGUCACAAGUGUGUGAUACAUUGGUUUCACUGGAAAACUGAGUGAUAAUAUCAGAGCACUUCAGAGACCUUUGGUCUGACUCAGUCCCUAGGUUAAUCUGUUAAAAGUACCGUGGAGUGGAAAAAUGCGUUAUUUUGAAUAAUUUUAUAAAUAUUGUUUGUGUAGCAUGUGGUGCUGAGCUGUAUCACAGAAAAGUACAACGAGUCUUUUUUCUCCUAUUCACAGCCAUAAAAAACAUCUUUACUUUAUAUCAAUACUAGGUUUGAAGGUCUUAUAAAAUGUAGUUCUUAAAACAUCUUCAAGCUCAAAGAAGUCUGAAAUAGGCCAGUUGUGAAAUUGGUGUGAUGUAUAAUGAUGAGUACAAGUUCUUUUAUUUUCAUGCUUUAGAGAAAAUGCAUUUUUUUUGUAUGGAUAUAGAAGAAAGGGAAACGAGAGAGAAAGAGUUCUCUAGUAAACACAAGUAUAAUGUUCACAACUGACUGCAAGAAACUUUUUCCUUUAUUAUUGGUGUAGAAGAAAAGCCUUUUUUUGCAGCUAAUGUUCAUACUGGUUAAAAUUUUAAUGGGAAUGAAAACAGGGUUUCUAUCUACUUUUUCUGUUCUUAAAUAAAUGUAACUAAAAAUUUCAUCCAGUAAUGAAGGUCUAAACAGUAUUUGAGGCUUAGAAGACAUAGCAACAUAAAGGUAAUUAAAACAGCAGGCUCGCAUUUUUUAAAGAAAAAAAAAAGCAAAGAAAAUGAAAUGGGUGAUGUGGUACUAGAAUUUUAAUCCUGAUAUAAUUCAUUUCUGUUACAUUGAGGAUUCAAUCAUAAUUAAGCCAUAUACACAGAUUAAAUUAACAGAAGCAUUUCAAAUAAAUGUUGGUUUCAGUCAUCAACUACCCAUGAAUUCCUGCCCAAGGAUACUUAAUCAGGAUUAAAUUUUCUAUGAAUAAUUGAAAAACAAAAUACUCACUGGAUUUGUUAUAAUCCAUGUUGGCACUGGGUUCUAAGUAGUUGCCAUCUUCCAUCCAUUGUAAUAAAGCCAUACUACUUUGUGAUGCCCUAGCAUUCAGAAAGCCAGUGUAAAUAUAUACUUUAUUGAAGUGCCUAUUUAUUGAGUAUGAUUAAAUCAUGCUGACAUUUUUUUCUUCAUACUAAGAGCAUACCUAUUGCCAUUGUGACUGAAAUCUUUCAUUUUGGAUUUAGUUUAGUAUUUGUCAAAUUUUAGACUUCUUUUUCACAUAUCUGUGCUUCUCCACAACGUGGAUUUUAUUUUCUAGUAAAAUGAAUGUUUGUUUAUUCUUAACAAUGUGUUUUUAAUUAUGUCCCUAUGCAAACGUGAAGGCACUGAAGUUCCAGCUUUAAAAUAGCCCUAACUUUACCAUUCAGUUUUGCUGCAGUUGCAAGUGUAGUUGAAACAUAAGUCUAUUCCAUUUUAGUUCAGAGGCAAAACUAGACAUUUGCCUUUGACUAAGGCAAAAUGGCAACAUGACAAAGUUGCUCAUUAAAUCAUCUCCUUUCUUAUUGUUUGUAAUUCAGAUCAAGAAUGGCAGGUUGAGGCUGGAAAAGAUGAGAUAUUAUGAUUUCACACAAUCUUCAGAAUGAUUAAAAGAUUAAUUAUUACAUUCCUCUGAUAACCACACAAAAAUAUUAUUGGUUAAAACUUCAGUCUUUAUUUCCCUGCUUAUCUCUGUACUUUUCAUCUUCUCAGGAAAAAAGCAUCCUGUUUUUGAUAAGUCUCCAAUAAUGCCGUAGAAGGUUUCUAUCUGUCCUCAUGUAUAAGACAUGAAAUUCAUGCAUAAAAUAGAAUUUUCCAAUAGACACAAGAAUUACUUUACAGUUUAUGAUCCAUCAUGAUAAAAGUUUUAAUAUGUGUGGAAAAAAAACUGUAUGUGACUUUCAGAAGAGGCACUCUUUAUUUGUUUUAUUCUCCAAAGGGUUUUCUUACUUCCUGUAGUCCCUCUGACUUAAAGCUGUCGGUAUUAAGGGAAAUGGUAUCUUAAUUUCACCUUAUAAAUAUACCCUACAGCAAUUCAUAAAAUGAAUUCAUAUUUAAUCUGAGUGUAAAUAUGAAGCAUAAGAUGUUUUUUAAUCUUUUCCAGAUUGCCCCGUAAGUCAACAGGUAACGUUAUCCACUCUUAGUUUGGCAUCAGAUCCAGCAAUUUGAAAAUAAAAUUUUUAUUUUGUUGUUAAUGUGACUGUAGCAAUUAGGUAUCACUUUUGUAUGGUAAGCAGUACAAAGGACAUGCAUUUCUUUCCAGGUCUGUUAGCGUUAUUUCAUAACCAACACUCACUAGUUUUAUGUUAUUGAAUCAUUAAUGCAUUCUCUAGCAGUAGGUUAGUAUCACUGCAGUGUGUAGUUUAAUUCAGUAAAGGGUGUCUUUGGGGAGAGCCUUCAAGUGUGUCUGAUUUACAACGCUUCAUAUAUAUCCGUACUCUAGCUUGAAGCUUACUGCCUCUGGAUCAUGCCCGAAGAGUGGUUUGAGUAUGUGAAAGCCUAUCUCUGCUUCCUAACUUAUAUCUUCUGUGAGACCAGCUGAUAAGACCUUGCUUUUUUUCAUGUUUGCUCACACAGUUACCCAUUUUAUCAAUUUGGUUUCAUAACCUCAUCUUGAAAGAAUAGCUUCCAGCCUUCUUUCAGUUGUCUUUGAUCAGUGCAUCCUGACUGGAAAACUUUUUUUCAUUCUCUUUUUCUAAAACGUGCUUUCCGUCACACACACACACACACAAAAAAAUGUUUUCUGUCGCAAACUGGGACUCUUUUGUCCAUCUGAGGAACUCAGAUGCGCCGUACAUCAGCUGUGCAGUAGGUGACAGCAGUGGGCGUAAGCAGCCCUUUGAUAUAGCGGUAGCCCUGGUGUGUAAGUGGCAUAGGUUUGUGCCCACUGAAAGCUGCCGCAUACACAGGGAAUUCUCAGUGUGUUCGCCCUGAAGGCAGCACCGUCUCUGCUAACCAUGGUGAACAGAACUCCAGUUGAGGUCAGAUGGCAACAUCACACUUGUGAGGUUUACAUGGUUCUGUUUUAAAUAAAGUUACAGUCACGGAGUAUGCUGUUCCUUCUGCCCACACUUCUCGGCGCUCAGAAAGGUAAGUGUAUAUUGACACAAAUGCCAACUGAAGUUGGUUCUGCUCUGAAAAAUCCAUUUCUAUGUGUGAGAGGGCAUCUGCUUGCCAGCCAUCACCUUUUCCUCUGGGCACAGAUGCCAUUUUCUUUCAAUUAUGAUUUAUUGGUUGGCAGGGAGGAUCCUAGCUCAGGAGAAAUGAGGGUGAGAUCACCGACUUGGUCUAUGAGACCCCCCCCCCACAAACUGUGAGGAGGGAUGUGUUGCUCCUGACCAGUGAUGUGAAGGGUGGAACACAAGUCCUCUAAGCUAUUCACUCCCCUUUCGUGUAGAAUGUGUUUAUUGUACAUUUAUUGAAAGUGCUUCAGGUAGGAAAGGGAAUAUUUGCAAUUAAAUAUAUGUAAAUGGAAGUGGAAAGGCUUGAUUGGAAAAAAAUCAAGUUUCUAAUACAUAUUACUACACUAAGAUCUCCCACACAAGAUGAACAUUUAUAGUCAGAUCUAAUGAAUAUUCCAUUCUGGUUUCUGUGCCAAUGAAGAGCCAUGGAAAUAUCUAAGUCUUUUUGUUUGCACCUUGAUCCUUUACAGAACUGGAAGAAUAUUUUGUUUGAUUUGGCUCUAGUUGAUUAUGCCUCUAGUUGAUACUUUCUAGAGAAUACAAUAAAUGUUUAUUGGGCUUUCCAAAGCUGAUGUUACACUGUAACUUUUAACUCUGGAUUAUACAGCAUACAAAGGGCAGGUGAUCCUUGCAAGUGUCAAAUGUUAAAAGAGAAAGGAUUAUUCUUGAUUAUUCUUUUCUAACCACACUAAUACAAUUAGGCUGUGAUUUUCCAGUGAACACUAAGUCCCGAUUCCAGUUUUUCUUAAAACAUUAUUUUCUGCAAAUCUUUUUCCUGUGUUAUGAAUUCCAUCUCUCCCACCACACUCUGUCCCCUACCCUUUCCUCUCCCCCUCCCACACACAUUUUGAGUGCAAUGGGUGUCAUUUCUAUAUCUCUCCAUCUGUUCCCACGAUCAGCACUCACAGUCCAGCCCCUGCUUUGCAUCUAGUAUGUGUAUUCUCUUUAUCCUUGGUCUGUUUUGAUUUCACGCUUUUCCUGUCUCUCCUUUGCCCUCUCUACCAUGUCUUUAGUCUCCUUAGCCAUCACAGAUCUGAGGGCGUGGUUUGACAUUGCAGCUAAUUUGAGCUAACUCUUGGCUGCCAAAGAGAGAGUGUCCGCAUUCCCCUGGCUGCACGCUACUUUUGCUUCCCUUGAAUUCACGACGGCUGUCACCUAGCAGUUUAGGUGAGGUAGAGUUGAGGAGUUAAACUGAUAGAAAACUCAGUGCAUAGCAGCAGUAGAGAAAAAACAAAUUAGUUCUCAGUGGUUUUGGCUCACUGAAGCAGGUUGUCAGGGUUUUACAAGCACCAGUGGCACUACUGGGUAUGGGGUAGAAAAGGCAUGUUGGAGAGGGGGAAGAUCUCCUUUAGAAGGGCAGCUGCAAGGUCAGUCAGUCUUCUGCAAACUAUCAGUCUUGGAACUCCUCCAUCACUUCUGUAUGUCUUCUGCUGCAUUUUGUGUGCUAAGAAUUGGCCUGACCCUUCUCUUAACAGCUCUCUUUCAAUAGUAGCUCAGGGUUGGGUUUUUUUCUAGCAACAGGAAAACUGAGUGCUUUAAAGUAUUUUAAAACAAACAGGGUCAGUUGUGCCUUUGCAGCUUCACAAAAGGGGCUGAGAGGCAUCGCAGGCAGACCCCCAUUUGAGGAGUUUUGAGGGGAGAAAUGGCAAGCACCGUGAAAACAGCCGUGACUUGAGUGGGUGCCAGUUUUUUAUGAACAGACUGUAGUGCUGUGGUAGAAGGCAACCAGCGAAGUCACACAGCUUUGCCUGCGGGUAGGGAGAGACUGAACCUGAACGACUGCCACCCAAAGAGCGAAGGUUUCCAACAUCCUGUUUCCUCCACUUCCCUGGCGACUACUCAUCUCUAGCCCUCAUGCCAAGGCGAGGAAGCCCCUGCUGCCUCCUGCAAGACCAAGCAAGUGGUGACAAGCUCUCUGGAUGAUGGCCUUUAGGAAUCCCAGCUACCAUGCCAUUGUCACUGAUGUCAUCAGCACAUGAGGAUCAUUGCUGCUUCUCCUCACAAGGAUCGAAUAAGUUGAUCCUUCCUGCCUGCCUCUUUCAUGGGGACAAGGGAUGAGCUCAGCCCCUGAUCUCCAUCCAUUCAAGGCAGAAAGCUAUGCUGGCACUCUGUCGAUGGCCCAAGCCACCCAGGACUGACAACUGGACAAAGCACAAAGCCUUUAUCCAUAACAGGAGAGGAGCUGACAGCUGCCGUCACCCUGAUGUAUUUCUGCAAGGGGGGAACUGACAUGAAAUUACCAGAAUAGCUGACCACCUUCAAAGGAAAAAAAAACAAGAACAAAAAGGAGAAUAUUCUGCUACUUAGUUUGUGAUGUGUAGACUGUGAGUUUCAAUUUCUUAUCUCUGAGGUCUGUUACAGAAACCAAGACAUGCAGUGGUGUGUAUGUACAAAUUGCCCCACUGCAAGUGGCACCGUCACAUCAAACAACAACAAGUUUCUUUGUUGGGGAAGCAGCAAAUCUGGGGCUUCUGUUCUGGAGAUGAAAAUAGGGUGAUAGAACCUGAGCAGAGGGAAAUCACUUCCUGGGCGCAGUAUCCUGCUGGAAUUGUUGCAACUCAUGUAUUAUUCAAAGUCUAGAUUUUGCAGCUAAGUCUUAAAUUAACCUUGAAGUUAUCUGAAAAGUCUCUUCCUCCCCAUCAUGGAUGUGGUUAUCCCCAGCGAGUGCCCUCACGACUUACACAUCUCACCCCAAGUUGGAGGGGUGUUAGAGGGGUCAGAGGGAGGAAACACCAGCCACGUCUUAAGAGGUGGUUUAGGAGUUUAUUCAGGCUAAUUUCACACAGUGGGGACCGUGACUCAUGGGGACUUACCCUUCUCCUCCGCAUUUGGGGUGACCAGGGCAGGUUUCUCUGUGGGGGGCAGUGGGUGCGGGACCCCCCUGGAAAGCGCAGCUCUUCCCUUCUAAGGGGGGGCCCCAGGUGGGGAAGGAGGCUUAGGGACACCCCGGGAUGCUCCGGUUCCCCCCUUGUCGGGGUGAUGCCGCCAGGGGGGGCCCUCGGGCCGCCCCGGGGACUGCGCUCCGGUGGGGUUCGAAGCCCGAAAAGGGAGAAGCCAGCACGGCUCGGCUCCAAAGGAGAGACCCUGCCCGGUACCCGCAUGCCAAGCAGUGCCUCCCGGAGCGGCAGGCGGGGAGCGAGGGCAUCCUCGCGGUGUCUUUGCUUCCCAGCAUCCCUACCCACCUGCAAACUGCAGGGACGACCCUUUCCAUCUCCCUUUUAGCGUGGAGAAAAGCAAAAGGUCUAAAGAAGCCGCGGUAAAACACAGGAGCGACCCCUCCGCAUCCUCUCCCUCCUUCCCAUCCUCUCCCUCCUCCCCAUCCUACCAAGAACGAUGUCCCGCAGGGCUGAGCCCCCCGCAGGGAACAGCCUCUUCGGGCUCCUUUCCCUCUGCUUUUGGGGUUCUGCUGUGAUUGGUUUGGGUUUGGUUUUGUUUCUCAUCCCCUCCAAAUCCACAAUUGUUUUAAUUCACC
RNA transcript from Cuculus canorus (common cuckoo), 8039 nucleotides. It is a transcript of the gene named G protein-coupled receptor 180, with no coding region annotated. The transcript is spliced from 11 exons. The record is from RefSeq and is a predicted model, not a curated record. Lineage: Eukaryota; Metazoa; Chordata; Aves; Cuculiformes; Cuculidae.